This 303-nucleotide unclassified non-coding RNA is filed under the name uncultured Bordetella sp. Its description in RNAcentral is "partial 16S-23S ribosomal RNA intergenic spacer". It matches the Rfam family "Bacterial small subunit ribosomal RNA", at positions 30 to 335 of the family's 1533-position model. The record is from RNAcentral. Lineage: Bacteria; Pseudomonadati; Pseudomonadota; Betaproteobacteria; Burkholderiales; Alcaligenaceae.
AUUGAACGCUGGCGGGAUGCUUUACACAUGCAAGUCGAACGGCAGCACGGACUUCGGUCUGGUGGCGAGUGGCGAACGGGUGAGUAAUGCGUAUGGAACGUGCUAGUAGCGGGGGAUAACUACGCGAAAGCGUAGCUAAUACCACAUACGCCCUUCGGGGAAAGCGGGGGGACCUUCGGGCCUCGCACUAUGGAAGCGGCCGAUAUCGGAUUAGCUAGUUGGUGGGGUAACGGCUCGCAAAGGCGACGAUCCGUAGCUGGUUUGAAGGGACGACCAACCACACUGGGACUGAGACACGGCGGG